RNAcentral lists this ribosomal RNA (405 nucleotides) under uncultured bacterium. Its description in RNAcentral is "partial 16S ribosomal RNA". It matches the Rfam family "Bacterial small subunit ribosomal RNA", at positions 28 to 526 of the family's 1533-position model. The record is from RNAcentral.
GAUGAACGCUGGCGGCGUGCCUAAUACAUGCAAGUCGAGCGAAGCGGGGACGGGUGAGUAACACGUGGAUAACCUCCUAUAAGACUGGGAUAACUUCGGGAAACCGGAGCUAAACCGGAAACUUAUAGAUGAAUCCGGCCUGCAUUAGCUAGUUGGUAAGGUAACGGCUUACCAAGGCAACGAUGCAUAGCCGACCUGAGAGGGUGAUCGGCCACACUGGAAUGGAGACAGGGUACAGACUCCUACGGGAGGAAGCAGUAGGGAAUCUUCCGCAAUGGGCGAAAGCCUGAUGGAGAAACGCCGCGGGAGUGAGUAAGGUCUUCGGAUCGUAAAACUCUGUUAUUAGGGAAGCGGUACCUAAUCAGAAAGCCACGGCUAACUACGUGCCAGCAGCCGCGGUAAUUC